This 235-nucleotide ribosomal RNA is filed under the name uncultured Glomeromycotina. RNAcentral's name for it is "partial 18S ribosomal RNA". The stretch from base 46 to 235 matches the Rfam family "Eukaryotic small subunit ribosomal RNA", at positions 693 to 884 of the family's 1831-position model. Lineage: Eukaryota; Fungi; Glomeromycota. The record is from RNAcentral.
GGAUCAGAUUGUCGGUCGUGCCUCGGUACGUACUGGCAUUAUUGGUUCCUACCUUCUGAAGAACCGCGAUGUCAUUAAUUUGGUGUCGUGGGGAAUCAGGACUGUUACUUUGAAAAAAUUAGAGUGUUUAAAGCAGGCGCACGCUUGAAUACAUUAGCAUGGAAUAAUGAAAUAGGACGUUUGAUUCUAUUUUGUUGGUUUCUAGGAUCGACGUAAUGAUUAAUAGGGAUAGUUG